This is a long non-coding RNA of Tyto alba (common barn owl), 2029 nucleotides long. RefSeq lists it as uncharacterized. Lineage: Eukaryota; Metazoa; Chordata; Aves; Strigiformes; Tytonidae. The record is from RefSeq and is a predicted model, not a curated record. The transcript is spliced from 4 exons.
UGGAAAAAUAAGGAAAAAAAAAAAAAAACUAAGAGAUACAGUGAAUUUUCCUGAUAAAGUACAGAAGAGUAGCCUAUUCCUGCCAGUAACUUUUGCAGUGCUUCUGGAACAAAGCUAUUGCUCAGGUAUUAGGAUCCACUGAUCUCCAAGAUCUGCACUGAGCCCAGUGGGAAAUUCUGCUACGGUGAAGAUACAUUUAUCCGCUUAGCCUUAGGGCUUAUCUCUGAAGUGACAAUGAAGUAAAAGAUGUGGAGAAACCUGUCAUUGACCAGACUGCUGUCAUCCAUACGAAGACAAAACUUCUGGGUACAGAAAUACCAGCUCACAGUCACAGUUUAAAGGAAGCUUAAGAUCUAGCCAGAGCAAGACAACUCCAGAUCUUCAAAGGGUGGUUUUGCAAGCCUGCAUACCAAACAGAAAACUUACUCCUGGAAAGGAUAACCUUGGAGGAACAAAGCUGUACCUGAUUUACCUGUCAACUGGGUCAAGACAGCAGCUGGGAAGUUACAGUCCCCUCACGGUGCCAGAGAAUUUUUGUUUCAAAUUAAGCUCAAGUCAAGCAUGAGUUGCAGUUUCAUUCAUAUUAAAAUAAAUGGGUGCAUUAUUCAGCCUGGAAAUAGGAAGGUUCAAUAUGUGUUUGUGUGUGUGUAUUUUUUUAAUAUGUAUGUAUAUUAACUCAUGAAAAUUAGAAAGUUCUUACUCAAGAGGUACUAGCGCAGACAGAGAGGCACGAACAUGAACUCCUAAAUGUUUCUUUUCCUCCAUGUUCAAGAUAAGUGUUUGUCUCUGAAGCCACUGAAUUUUCUUCAUAAGGUUUCUUAAUAUUUCUUUUGAUAUCUAUAUAUAAAACAAUUGUUACAUAAGAAUAAACAAAACACUUAUAUACUGUGCUAAAUGAACCUGAAUUUUUUUGAUUCAGGUGAGUAAAUCAAGAAUAUUGACCUAUUUUCUUGUCCUUUCCCUCAAUAAAACUUUUACUUUCAUUCUUUUUCUAAUUCUUUAAUUCUGUGUUUCCUUUGUUUUCUCUGGCCAGUGCUAUAUUCAAGUUCUGGCUGGAGUAUCAUGAUAUGCUCUGAGGCUAGCAGAAAAUUAAUAUUUUUGUAAUGUAAACUGGCAUGGACAAGACUAAGAAGAGAUACCAAAAUCACAAAUACCAGACAAAGAUCAGCUAUAGACACAAAAUUGUUUGAAAUAUUUUCCUCUCUGUAGUUCUGUAGAACAGUAAAAGCAAACAUGUUUAUAGAAUCUGUACAAAAUAAUUUUUAAGAAAAAUUCCAAGGCAAAAUUAUCGCUACUCUGUCAGCUCUUAAACUUCAAUGCGAGCUUUCACGUAACAUGUUUCAACACAUCAGAGGCUGUUCACAUCCAAGCCAGCCUCUGGCCUCUGGCUCUCUGUGCACACCGAGCGGCCCCAGCAGCCCACCCAGUCCACCGCUGGCAGCUGCCAGCAGCCACGACACGGGUCCCACACAUGGUGUAAUCCCGCAGGCGUCAAGAGUCUGUGGGAAUCGCCACUGAUGCCAGGCUCGUCGCGAGUGAAGUCCCCUACCUGCUUUCCCAACUGUCACACAAGUGGCCUCAACUCUUUGAUUUGUUUCAUUCUCCAUAGAGUAGCACUAACUGGAGGUUAGGGAGGGUAGAACCAUUACAAUAAAAAAAAAAAAAAAAAAAAAAAAAAAAAAAAAAAAAAAAAAAAAACGGGGGAAAAGAAUAAACAAGCAAGAAGACACAGCACUGCUGGGGAAGGAAAAGGGCUUUGGUUCUGGAUAAUGCGACAUGCCAGAGGAUUUUUUUACCCUCUGCUUGUGAGACUGACAGGCAGCACAUCCAUCACACCCGUGGAUGGAACCAGCACCCCCUUCUUCCCCUCGCACCCCCUCAGCCCAGCUGUGACUGGCAAGGGCGAAGCAAAGCCCGCCCAAAAGACCCCCUGUGUGGUGUGGCGGCCCGACGGAACCCCAGCUCAUGCCCCAAACACCGACAGCGAGCUCGGGCAUGGGAAACAGCCUCCGGCAGGCAGAAGCUAUAA